AGGGUUCUGUCAGUUGGGUUUGGUCAAAAAGGUUGAGUAGAAUGAUGAGAUUAUAUUUCAAAAAGCAAGAUGAACACGUGAGUUUAACUUCAGUUUUAACAGAAACUAACAAAAGGACUAUUUUGAUGGGUGGAUGAUAACCUGAAGGACUAUUAGUGUCACAAAAAAACCUGAAGGACGAUUCAUGAUAAUUUUGUAAACGUGAAGGACCAUUUGUGAUAAAAAGCCUAAAAUGAAUAGAUUAGGGAUAGAUCUGCAUUUGAAGGUUUUGAAGCAACUUUACAGGUUUUGUUUAAUAUAAUUGAGAGAGAGAGAGAGAGAGAGGACGAAAGGAGGAGGAGGUGGAGGGUACAGGUGGUUUCUGUCAGGCUGGAGUGGAGUGGGCAGCUAUGUGGAGAUGAUUGUUUUGGUUCUUUUCUCUCUUUCUUUUUUUUUUUUUUUGGGUGUUUUUGUUGUAGUUUUAAAGUAUUAUUGUGUUGAUAAUAAAGCCCUCGAUGAACCUAGGAUAUGCCUUCAAAUUGACAGAUUUAAGAAAUUGGACUUGAUUUGUUAAUGAUUGCAAUUACGGUGACGAAAUUAGGAAAAUUAAAAUUAUGGUGACUAAAUUUGAUUUUGAGCUAAACUCUAGUAACAAAAAG
RNAcentral lists this long non-coding RNA (638 nucleotides) under Prunus persica (peach). RNAcentral's name for it is "long non-coding RNA (PPER_LNC000609)". Lineage: Eukaryota; Viridiplantae; Streptophyta; Magnoliopsida; Rosales; Rosaceae. The record is from RNAcentral.